GCCAUCUUGUCACUACAGGAAACUUACUGUAAAUUUCUUCGAUUUCUCCGAGCUUAGCGUUUCUGAAUCGGGUACGCUCACACCAAUAGGAGCUGUCGACAUAAUAAUCUACAGCCAGCACAAACAGCUAUCGAAAAUUAUACACCGACUUCCUUCGUUGUGAUGCGAAUUAAGUUCUCAAACUGCUGGCAAACAAGCGUUGCAACGUGGUCUGUGAAAGACGAGACAACAAGGAAGCCUCUUGUUGUGAAACCGCAUACGACAAAUGGCAGCAAGAACAAGUCCUGACGGCGAAAUAUACAACAAAAUAUUCGCUAAUGUCGACCAAGCUUCGCCCACAACCCACAAGAGCGAUUUUGCAUCGAAUAUUUACAGUACGUUGGGAGAAGAUCUAUUUUGGUCGGUCAACGCCUUCAAAUGCCUACAUAUUUACUUACAUUCCGCAAAAGCUGGUCAAAUUGAAUAAAUAGACUUUAAUCUUACAUUCGGCCGACUAAGACCACAUAUUAAACUAGCCAAAACCCUUAUAAUGAUAAAAUAUAGGUCACAAAUAUUUC
Molecule: non-coding RNA, 557 nt
Organism: Paramuricea clavata
Lineage: Eukaryota; Metazoa; Cnidaria; Anthozoa; Malacalcyonacea; Plexauridae
Source: the annotation of a GenBank genome assembly